AAUAGGAGGCACAUGGAGGAAAGAGCCAGAAGGGUAUGAAAACAAGCAAAGGGCACAGAGGGCUGGAGGCAGGAUGGCCAGAAGCUGCCUCCCAACACCUCAAACUAUGCUAUGGAUAACAUCUGUUCUGAGAAUACAUCUGGAACUUGUAAUCAGGAGCAGGAUUCUGGUCUGGACAGCAAUCACAUCCUGGAGCUGAGAAAGACAGGAGCUGCUAGCUUGUGCCCCCAAAGGGAGAAAACGACAGUUUGGUUCUAACUUCCGUCCACCCCAGGUGAACAUUCAUCAUGGCUCACCAGAUCCUAACACCACCACAGUGCCUACAGCAAUCUGGAAGAGUCCUACUAUGGGCAGGGAGAGAGACACAGAGUGAAAGUGGUCUCUACUGAGUCUCUACUAUGCGCUAAUUCUUCUGUUCCUCAAAGAUGCUGCCUACCAUUACUUUAUGGAGGAGGAAAUGGGUCAAAAGGUUCACUGACUUACCUAGGAGCCUGAAAAAGUAGAUUUCCAACCUUUCACAGCCUGUGAGUAGAGACAACCAGGCUUGCACUCCCAGCUAUGUGACCUCAAGGAAGCCACCCAUCAGUUAAGUGGGAAUACUGGUGACACCUUUUAUGUCAACUUCAUGAUGGUAUGGGCAAAAAUGCAUACAUAAGCACCAUGGAGACUGGGAAGUCUACACCAUGAUGAUUAGUAACCAUCACUAGAAGUGACCACUAGGGAUGAGGUAUGGCUCAGUGGUAGAGAAACUGUCUAGCAUGUGCAAGGCUAUAAGUUCAAUCACCAGUACUGCCAAAAAAAUUUUUUAGUUCCUAUUUAAUGCUUGAACUUAAAAAUUAAGACAUGAGCUAAGUUCUUGGGGCUCAGCAUGUAAAAGCACUUGUUACCUAGCCUGAAGACAUGAGCUCCUAUCCCAGGACCCACAAGCGAAAAAGAAGGAACCAGCUCCUGAAAAUUGUCCUCUGGCCUACAUAUGUGUGCCAUGGUGCAUGAAUGCCUGCACUCAUGCAUGUACAUCACAAACACACAAUACACAAACAAACAAAUAAAUGUAAUAAGUUAAGAAAAGAAGUGACUUUAUGGUUGGGAAUGCAGUUUGGUGACACUGCACUGUUGAGCCUAUGUGAAGCCCUGGGUUCAAUCUCUAGUACCACCACAAAAUACAGUAGAGGAGUGGGGGAGGCUGGAGAGAUGGCUCAGCCUGGACU
Onychomys torridus (southern grasshopper mouse) is the source of this 1208-nucleotide long non-coding RNA. RefSeq lists it as uncharacterized. The transcript has 3 exons. Lineage: Eukaryota; Metazoa; Chordata; Mammalia; Rodentia; Cricetidae. The record is from RefSeq and is a predicted model, not a curated record.